UAUCCAGUUCUCGCUUAUCCAGGUUUGA
Molecule: non-coding RNA, 28 nt
Filed under: Bombyx mori (domestic silkworm)
Lineage: Eukaryota; Metazoa; Arthropoda; Insecta; Lepidoptera; Bombycidae
Source: RNAcentral